This 303-nucleotide ribosomal RNA is filed under the name uncultured bacterium. RNAcentral's name for it is "partial 16S ribosomal RNA". It matches the Rfam family "Bacterial small subunit ribosomal RNA", at positions 507 to 809 of the family's 1533-position model. The record is from RNAcentral.
AGCAGUAGCCGCGGUAAUACGAAGGGGGCUAGCGUUGUUCGGAAUCACUGGGCGUAAAGCGCACGUAGGCGGAUACUUAAGUCAGGGGUGAAAUCCCGGGGCUCAACCUCGGAACUGCCUCUGAUACUGGGUAUCUUGAGUCCGGGAGAGGUUGGUGGAACUCCGAGUGUAGAGGUGAAAUUCGUAGAUAUUCGGAAGAACACCAGUGGCGAAGGCGGCCAACUGGCCCGGUACUGACGCUGAGGUGCGAAAGCGUGGGGAGCAAACAGGAUUAGAUACCCGAGUAGUCCCUGUCUCUUAUAA